AUGUACAUCGGAAAGAACUCCUCCAGGAACCCUGAGAAAGCCCUGCAAAGGGUAAAGGAAAGAGGCGUAGCAAGGGCGCAGCACAGCAGCACACGUGUCACAAGACAGCGCUCUGGUCCUCCAACUAACAACCGAGCUUUUAUCCUGACAGAGGUUUACAUUUCCAAAGCGCUACAGAACUCAGAACUGGGAACCAGGCCCUUGUUCCUCACCAUCCCAUCACGCCUCCAGGGCUGCAAUGGGAAGGAGCUCAGUGGGCGCUGCAGAGCCGAUUCCCCCUCCCCAGCCGCGAUCCCGGGGGCGGGCAGGGGGCGCAUCCCUCCCCUCGCUGGCUGGCAGCGGCACCGGGAGCCCGGCACACACAGCGCUCUCAGAGCAGGAUUGUUCCGUCAGAUCACGCCUUCUCCCAACCUCUUCAUGCACAACUGCGUGUGCUUCUCCUCAAAGAAUGUACUUGUUAACCACAAGGCUCUUCUCCCUUCAAGAUUUGCACAGAUAAGAUUUUUUAAAUUCAUCUCCUGCAAACAGAUACAACUUCCCUGCACAUUUGAGCAGCUACCUUGGGAAUGGAAGAAGAACCAUUUGUCCCAAGAAAUUCAGUGAUGACAGCGCAGCGGUCAUUUUAAAAACUGAAAUGAGCCUCUUUGGCAGGUCUGCUAGAGAAGGAGACUUGAAAACUACAGGAAGGCUCACCUCACUCAUCCCCCAGCUGGUGAAACUGCCAUGAAAGCAUCCAUCACACAGCUCAUGCACACCACCUCCUCCUCAGCCACCCUGCCCCAUCAAUCCAAGCUCCAAAACCUUUGGAACAAAGACUUUCUGCUACAGCAUCUGUGCAGCAGCUCCAGAAGGAAGCCCUGCAUCCAGCAGGCCUACAAGGCACUGCUGCAGCAGCCAUAAAUAAUAGACCAUGUUUUCCAUUUUCAAGCAACUUCCACCCCUAAGGAGCAGCCCGGCACUGUCGCCCGCAUCCAUGCCAAAAAGGAGGAGAAUGUUAUGCAAACAACUUACGUCAUGGCAGAGAAGUAAGUGCCUGGACUCCAUUCACUCUUGCAUCACCAAGAGUUCCCAAGCCUCUCCCAGAUAAGCCAACCUCCAGGCGGAGCCCUUGGAUGGGCUGUUCCCUGCCAAGCCAUCCAGAACAACGCCCACAGGUUGCCCCACAUCAUUAAAGGUAAGCACUUCUCCUGUGAGGCCCCAGCAUGAGCACCUGACUGAAUUUAUACAAUCAGAAACAAUUCACAUAGAGCGAAUUUGUGCUGGGAAAUGUACUUGUUUCAACUGUAAAGCAAGACGCAAGUGUUGUAACAUUAACCAACGUAAUUAGGGUUUCCAUGAAAGUGAAACCACCUUGUUCAAAGUAAAGCACUUCAAACUGCUUUAUUUUAUGUUAGUGAUAUGCACUUACUUAAUGUGUUGGGCUAUAGGUUUUUCUGCUUCUUCAUUAUGGAUAUAAAAACUCUACACACUGAGACAUUUAGUCAAUUAGAUUGGGAGAUAACAGUAUGCCUGAAAUAUGUCAAGAUCAGGUUUAUAAUAGUUUUAAUGCACCUAAGAUAGGUCUAAAGCUGCUACAAUGGUGCUGGUAUUAACAUAAAACUGAAGAACACUAUGAAUCCUCAUCUAUUAAAGAAAAAUCAUUAAACUCACAUCUUAGGACUCCUGCAUUCCAAUCUUGUUUUCCAUUUAAUAUUUGCACAUUAAGAUGUCCAAUAAUACGUGCACAUUAAGAUGUCCAAGUAGACUCUUAUUUGUUAAAGAGCUUGUUUUUAGUUGGUAUCAGCCUCCAGUUUUUUUAACCAGUUUUCCAGCUGUCAACUGCCUCCAAGGUUUACACUUGAUUAAUGCUGGUAAUUUCCAAGCGUGCUUUCAGCUCCAAACCAGGCAAGUGCCCAGGGCAUUCCAGGAGCACAGCACAGUGCUGCCAGCGCUGGGGAGGGACAAGGGCACCCAGCUGCCCCACCACGCCUGGCAGCAGCAGCAGUCCUGGUCUGCUGCAGGACAGCGAGGCCUUCCUGGCCAUUCCAGCCUCUGGGAUCAAUCUGCAGGUGGAUCAUGCCACCAGCUCAUAAAUUCCCACACUGCUAUAUAAACUCAGGCCCAUUGUACUGUAGCUGAGGACUAAGAUGAAUUUCAGGCUGCAUUCAAGCUGUACCCUAGUACCAGCUCUGCUACUGAUAAAUCACAGCUUCCACCCAUUAGCUCCUCACUUCGUCAGCUUCUACUCUCAUAUUCUCACUCCCCGUGUUUGAUUUUUUUUUUAAAGUCUUCUUACUUGACUUUUACUGGCCUUAUGACUACUACCACAAAUACUACCCUUAAAGGGAUGAUUGUUUUCUUUUCGCCUAUUCCUUGGUGGGUCUUCAGAGAACACAAACAACAAAAUACAUCACCUUUGUCUAUUUCUAACCAGUGAAACAAAAAACACACACAAAAUAACCAAGCUAGAAAACUAGCAUUUUGUAAUCUCUUUCCUUGGAAUUACCAACUAGUGGACAACAAGACCUAAUACAUCUUAGUAAUGUAAUAACGUUUGGAGAAGUUUUUACUGAAAUACUUCAGCACUAUGUUUAUUCAGCUGUUCUCUUCUGUACUAGGUUAUCCAACCACGUUUAUCACUCCUCAACACUGCACUUUUUCAUUAACAGAAGAUUUAAAAAGAGUCUGCUGCUAAAACUUUAGAGCCACUAAACAGACAGGGAUUUAAAACGCCAUCUAACUUAGAACAUCACAGGCAUCCGUAGCAGCUAUGGCACCUUCAGCGCUGACUUCCUAAAUAAGUAUCUGUUCCUACGCUUGUUCCAAUAAACAGACGAGCAACCGACA
Molecule: long non-coding RNA, 2826 nt
Organism: Zonotrichia albicollis (white-throated sparrow)
Lineage: Eukaryota; Metazoa; Chordata; Aves; Passeriformes; Passerellidae
Source: Ensembl